UAAAAGUUUUAUUCUAGCUAAGGAAUUUCCUGGUAGGUUGUUUCACAUGUGAGGUUUUACGAGAGUGAAAGGGUGAUCUAAAAGGUCCUUCAUUUGGCAAUAGUCGCAGUGUUUGAUAUUGGGGGUCAGAUAAAUCUGGAGCCAGCAAUUUUUUUUAGCCCCGGCCAAAUUCGUGCCAGCCGCCGCGGUUACACGGAAGGGACAAGGAUAUUUUAUUGGUUUGUAAUUAGUUGUGGGUUAGGUUGAAAGAAAGAUUUUGUUAGGUGAAAUUUUAAAGUUUAAGUUAACCAAUGAUGGGUAAAUGAAGUUAUGAAACUUAGGUAAUAAACUAGGAUUAGAUACCCUAUUAUUCUGAGCGUUAAUGUUGAACCAGAGUAGUAAGAGAUAGGAUCUUGAAACUCAAAGAAUUUGGCGGUGUUUUAGUCCAUUCAGAGGAAUCUGUCCCAUAAUCGAUAAUCCACGUUUACUUAACUUAGUUUGGUUUUCAGCUUGUAUACCGCCGUCAAAAGAGUGAUUCUAGAGAAUAUCCUCUAAUACCUUAAAUGAGGUUUAUGUCAGGUCAAGGUGCAGCUUAUGGCUAAGGGGAGAUGGAUUACAAUAAGUUUACUUAGACGGAAAGUAAGUUGCAAAAGUUAUUAAAAGGUGGAUUUGAGUGUAAUGAAAUUUAGAUAAAUUUUAUGAAAUAGGCUCUAAAACAAGCACACAUCGCCCGUCGCUCUCGUUUCUUAAGGCGAGAUAAGUCGUAACAAAGUAGGUGUACCGGAAGGUGCUUCUAGAAAGUC
Molecule: non-coding RNA, 782 nt
Filed under: Electrogena lateralis
Lineage: Eukaryota; Metazoa; Arthropoda; Insecta; Ephemeroptera; Heptageniidae
Source: RNAcentral